AAGCAGGAGGUGUCAGAAAAGUUACCACAGGGAUAACUGGCUUGUGCCGCCCAAGCGUUCAUAGGGGACGUCGCUUAUGAUCUAUCGA
RNAcentral lists this microRNA precursor (88 nucleotides) under Sorex araneus (European shrew). RNAcentral's name for it is "miRNA (ENSSARG00000019608.1)". It matches the Rfam family "Eukaryotic large subunit ribosomal RNA", at positions 2794 to 2881 of the family's 3401-position model. Lineage: Eukaryota; Metazoa; Chordata; Mammalia; Eulipotyphla; Soricidae. The record is from RNAcentral.